AAGGGCUCCAUAUGAGAGCCUAGCAAACCUGAUUACCAUAUCACAUCUUUUACUGGUACAGAGGAGCGAGCCCCUGAACUUUCCUACCAACUUGCCCAGAGGAUGGGCACCGUUAGAAGAGGAAAGGAUGUAGUUUAAAAAGCCAUCAUCAAUUGAAACAACAAAAAUGGAGGACUCGGAUUCUGCAGAAAACACAUCCUGAGACACAACCCCAAUUAACUCCGCAUGUUUGUGGUGAUGACUGAGCAAGAAGAGAUCAUGGGAAGUUGACAAGUCUGGACUGAAUCAAGAGAAUCAGCAUAAAUCUCAACCGAUGCCUAAUUUUAGAGAUGUCUGGUCCUCUAAACGCGUCUUUGCCACAGCCAGAUGGGGUGGGAGACAACAUUGGAGGGUGGAAACGAGAGAGGUGCCAAACUGAAGCUCAAAAGGUCAGAGCAUCUACCAUUUUGAAGCCAGUGCAUGACAGACGGUGUGAAGAAGGCCAUCAAGAUACUCCCAUGGCCUUUGUGCCCCUCAAGAUACUGCUUCUCCUAUGCAUUUUGCUCUGGUGAUGGUGGGUGUUGUGAAAGAGAAAAGAUGGUUAGAGAAAUUAUCCUAUGCUAAGCAAGUGUGGACAAGGAUCAAGUAAUCAGAAGACAUAAGAGUGCUAGAGGCUUCACUUACAACCAUAAGCCAUAGGAAGAGCAUCUCUCUUGGGGGUCCUGACUACACCACUUUGGAUGCUCACUCUCAAGUUCCUGACCAGUGGCAUUUUCCUCUCGGUUCCUGACUUUCACAGAUUCCCCCCACCCCAUGAAGUCCCAAUUGGAAUAUGAGUUCUUUAAAAUAUUAUAAUCGAGCUGCAGUCCCAGUGCCUUUUGGCUCUGCUUUUCCGUAUGUGUUUAAAAAUGCAACAGCAAUUGUCAUAGUUAUUCAUCAAUUUAAAAGGCAUAAAGGCAUAGAAAUUGGGUACAGUCUCAAGAGGAAAAAAAUGGUUCUUUAAAACAGAA
Molecule: long non-coding RNA, 989 nt
Filed under: Mus spicilegus (steppe mouse)
Lineage: Eukaryota; Metazoa; Chordata; Mammalia; Rodentia; Muridae
Description: lncRNA (ENSMSIG00000019730.1)
Source: RNAcentral